This is a long non-coding RNA of Trachemys scripta elegans, 1297 nucleotides long. RefSeq lists it as uncharacterized. NCBI's taxonomy places the organism in Eukaryota, Metazoa, Chordata, Testudines, Emydidae. The transcript is spliced from 3 exons. The record is from RefSeq and is a predicted model, not a curated record.
AACUAAAAUUAGAACUAAGAGGUGAACCUUGGUUACUUACCUCAGUCUUCUCUGUUCAUCUCCCCACGUUUUUCUCUCUCCUGGGAGAGAUUCUUUGGGAUGAGGGGUAGCAUGGGCCUGCUCCUGUGAGGAGCUGAGCACUCUUAAUUCUCCAUUAAUUUCAAAGGGUGUCAAAGAUGCUCUGCUCUUCCCAGGAUCAAGACCUAAAUAAACGUAAGACCUUAGUGGUCUAGUGAUCGAAGAAGAGGGCUGGAAGCCAGGAAAACUGGGUUCUAUUUCCAUCUCGGCCAUUGCUUCACUGAGUGACUUCAGGCAAGUCAAACUCUCCAUGCCUCAGUUCCCCCCGCUCUAAAAUGGGGGAAAUACUUACCUGCCCUGCGGGGGGAUUGUGAAGAUUUAUUUUUUCAUGCUGACAAAGCACCAUGGAAUCCAUGGAUGAAAGGCAAAGCAUUAUAUAUUAUUAUUGUCACAUACCAUUGGUGGAGAGAAGGAAGUAGGCUGCAUUUUGCUGCGGGAGCCAUCGUAUUUUAUUGAUCUUCUCCUCUAUCUCUAAACUCUUCAGGGAUCCCUCCGCUCACUUUAGGAUCCAAUCACUCCCUGAUAAUGUGCGAGGAGCCCACCAUGUCUGCUGAGCUGUGACAAUCCAGAUGGCAGCAGGCAGGAAAUGGGAUCUGACUUCACCAACAGCUAUGACAGGUCCAGCCCAUCUCAGUUAAAUUCCUUUGCUCCCCAAAGAAAGACAGUUAUUGUCAGACACCAUGAAUGCCACCCAAAAGACUCAGACGGGGUUUUCCUUCUAAAAAUUCUUUACAGCCAAAGGCAAAGAGGACAAGGAAUGUCGCUAAAGUGAAAGCCUUACUUAAUAUUUCACAUUCCAAAUGCUGUAACUGUUUUUCCUUCUUUUUCUGGAUCUUUAAUAAAAGGUUUAAAAGAUGCGUAAUGGUGUGUUUGCCAUGGCACUAAACAGGCUGAGAUCUUUGCAUGCCAAACCCCAAACCUUGUUCAAAACUGUUUAAUGUUGAACAGUUACCAAGUCAUGUUAACAUCUCUGACUCUUUGGGCCAAUAUAUUCCAUCUAUAUUGAUACAACACCACUGCACCACUGGUGUGCAUCAAAGCUGAUGAGGAUUCAUCGCUGACAUAAUGAUUGGCGUUCAGACAAAUGUGUUUAAUUCUACCCACAGUGAAAGGCGCCACCUUUUGCUACCCAUUAUGAGUGAGUCAGAAGUGGCAAAUGACUUGUAGAAGAGCAAGGCCCCAAUAUAACCGCUUGAGAGAUGGUCUACCGCAGUGGUGG